This 646-nucleotide long non-coding RNA is filed under the name Drosophila guanche. The record is from RNAcentral. Lineage: Eukaryota; Metazoa; Arthropoda; Insecta; Diptera; Drosophilidae.
CAUAAAAAUACACGGAAAUUCAUGCAUUGAUUUUUUUUUUUUAAUUUUGUAACUUUAAUUUUUAAUUUUUAGUCAACCAAAUGACACAAAUAUUUACAUAAUAACUCGGGACAGCGCCCAGUUUUAAUUUUAUUUCAUUUAUUUAAUUGAAAUAUUUCCACAGUCUCUUCUGGUAACCAGCUCUAGUCUCAUGGCCAGCAUUAUGUGCUACCAAUAUGCCUAGACUUAAUUUUAAAAUGCCAAGACGUUGUUCUUCGUCUUCCUCUUUUUCAGUUUGGCUCUAAAUUAGUUCAAGGAUUAGUGCAAUAAAACUAACGGGCCACGGAUUUGCGCAGCCCUUUUGUUGGCUUAGCGAAAGGGGCCUGCGAGGAAGGCAUGUCACAAUUUCCCAAUUAGCCACUCAUUGAGAUAAAUUUCUUAUGCAAAUGAUGACAAGGCCAAGUAAGGCAUUUGAGGGGAAGCCAGAGCUGGGGCAGGAUGCCGUGACAGGCGCUGAAGUGGCAUUGGCAUCCAAAUACUCGUACAUCCCCAUGCUGGUCGGGGAGUUUGGGACACGACCUGAGCAGAACGGAACCAAACCGAAUCCCCAGCAACGCCCUGACAACCACUGCCAGGAAGAACAACUAAAGCAGCGACAGCGACGGAC